UCAUGAAUGAUGCCUUUGCGCAUGCGCAAUGCCCAACAAAAUGGCAGCGCCCAUGGUCUUAAUUCUGUACAUCCUUCUCGCAGUCGUUUGAAGAUUAAAAAGUCCUUGCAGCGCCAUCCUGCGAUGAAAACAUUUGAGUGUUCCAGAUUUCUGUAGCAGAACCCUGCCUGGCGGAGGGAAGGUGAAAUAUAAGAUUAUUUGUUCCCGUCAGAGUCAAAAACGCAUUUACGGCAUGAAGGUGAACCACGUCGUAGGGACAAGCUUGCAUGAGUGAAAGGUAAUUAUAAAUUGAUAUUUCCUUACGUAGUUGAAUUUUAUAAUCCCUUUGUUCCAAAAAUGUCAUUCAUGCUAAAUUACAGCAUGGAUGGAGAGUGAACUGAUGGGCUAGCUGCACAUGCGAGUAAUAUAAAGCCCAAAGUCCUUUGCAGCUAUAUAGAGUCCAAGCUCAGUGGUUCUAAGAUGCUCUCUGGUGCAAUCUUAGCAGUUGUUUUUGAAGAAUUCACAAACAAAGUUCAUCACCGUUUUUUUAAAUGAAUUUGGUUGAGAAGGAUUCUAAUUUUCUUUUACUUUAUAACCCAUCGCUAUGAAGUUUUAACCUGUCGCUGAUUUUCAAACAUCUACUUUCAAAAUUCAAACCUAUCGCCUUUACUUGUCAAAACCCCUUGUGGAUAAUAAUAAUGAUAAUAUAGGCAUUUCUAUAGCGUUGUCUAGAAAUUCUA
Strongylocentrotus purpuratus (purple sea urchin) is the source of this 719-nucleotide RNA transcript. RefSeq lists it as uncharacterized. The record is from RefSeq and is a predicted model, not a curated record. Lineage: Eukaryota; Metazoa; Echinodermata; Echinoidea; Camarodonta; Strongylocentrotidae. The transcript is spliced from 3 exons.